Long non-coding RNA from Homo sapiens (human), 376 nucleotides. NCBI's taxonomy places the organism in Eukaryota, Metazoa, Chordata, Mammalia, Primates, Hominidae. The record is from Ensembl.
AGCCCCAGACCAGCCCUACAGGAGUUUGCUCCAAGCGCCACUGGCCUGGCCCAGCACACAGAUCUCCCAGAAAGGAAAAUAAAAGCACCUUGAGGACAGAGCUGGAAGUAGUCUACCUGGGUAUUCUCCACAGCUGCAAGCUCAAUGUCCUGAGCUUGCUGGUACUCAGAAAAUGUUUAGGAACUUCUUUUUACAUUGAGGGUAGUGCUUAUGGGCAAAAUGAAUGCCCAUGGGCCUAGCCCUGAGAUGGCUGGACAGCAAGAAAGGAGAAAGGACAGCAUGGGCAAUUUUCCACACAUGUUUUAAGUUUACAGGGGGAAAGAGACCAAGAGAAUAAGAUCAAGUCAAAUCAAACCCAUGUAUAAUAAUACCAUUA